Molecule: ribosomal RNA, 254 nt
Filed under: uncultured bacterium
Lineage: Bacteria
Description: partial 16S ribosomal RNA
Rfam family: Bacterial small subunit ribosomal RNA
Source: RNAcentral
UACGGGGGGAGCAAGCGUUGUUCGGAUUUACUGGGCGUAAAGGGCGCGUAGGCGGUCAGCACAAGUCAGUUGUGAAAUCUCCGGGCUUAACUCGGAAAGGUCAACUGAUACUGUGCGACUAGAGUGCAGAAGGGGCAACUGGAAUUCUCGGUGUAGCGGUGAAAUGCGUAGAUAUCGAGAGGAACACCGGUGGCGAAGGCGGGUCUCUGGGCCGAUACUGACGCUGAGGAGCGAAAGCGUGGGGAGCGAACAGG